Molecule: ribosomal RNA, 637 nt
Filed under: Pseudocyclops sp. DZMB698
Lineage: Eukaryota; Metazoa; Arthropoda; Copepoda; Calanoida; Pseudocyclopidae
Description: eukaryotic LSU rRNA
Rfam family: Eukaryotic large subunit ribosomal RNA
Source: RNAcentral
GGAAUAGCCCAUCGCCGAACCGCAGGUCUUCUAGGCCUCGUGGAAUGUGGCGUUUGGGAAAGUCUUCUCGCGGCGUGGACGGCCAGUCAAAGUCCAACUUGACAGUGGCCAUGGCCCAUAGAGGGUGAUAGGCCCGUAAGGCGGCUGUCCUGUCGCGCUGACUUUUCCCCAGAGUCAGGUUGCUUGGAAGUGCAGCCCAAAGUGCCAGGUAAACUCCUGGUAAGGCUAAAUAUGACCCCGAGACCGAUAGCAAACAAGUACCGUGAGGGAAAAUUGAAAAGAACUUUGAAGAGAGAGUUCAACAGUACGUGAAACUGUGUGGUGGUAAACGGAGGGGUUCUCGAAGUCUCGAGGGGGAACUCAGCCUAGGAGGCUGGUCAAGCCAGGUGUGUCAGAUCAGCAAUGACUGACUGCCUGUCUUGUCCUGUCUCACGGGUGCACUUUCCCCCUCGUUCACGACAGGAACCGUUAGGGUUGGACCCAAGGCCUGGGAAGAAGUUGUCGGGCAGCUCCUAGUGACCUGGCUUCAGCUCUGACGGGUAGAUAAGUAAGCUCGUAUAGCGAGUGGUCUGCCACGGCUUGCAUCUCCCUGUCGAGUAGGUCGGCGGCCCCUCCGACCCGUCUUGAAACACGGACC